Phragmites australis (common reed) is the source of this 1447-nucleotide long non-coding RNA. RefSeq lists it as uncharacterized. The transcript has 2 exons. The record is from RefSeq and is a predicted model, not a curated record. NCBI's taxonomy places the organism in Eukaryota, Viridiplantae, Streptophyta, Magnoliopsida, Poales, Poaceae.
ACCUGUCUAGACUUCGACUGAAGAGAUAUAGUCCUAACAUGGUUUCGCAUGCUAGGCUUGGUAGUAGUUUCUACUUCUCCUUAGUACUUCCAGAAGCUGUUAAGCUGACUUCAGUGCUUAAUCAUCUGAAAUUCUGAAUCCUGAUACAUAUACUGGUUAUCUUCUCCUUAGUACUUCCAGAAGCUGUUAAGCUGACUUCAGUACUUAAUCAUCUAAAAUUCUGAAUCCUGAUACAUAUACUGGUUAUAAUGGACGAAUAAGAAUUAUCAGUCCUACUUUUGAUAUCUAUAAAAAAUCACACAAUAAUGCUUCCGUGGUCAGGUCUUCCUUCUCCCACAGGGCACAGGGAAGGUGACUGGAACCGACACAUUGCAAGCUGGAGCUGAAAACCCUAUAAAGAAGCUUCAUAUCUACAAAGAGAACCAACCAACUGACCCCCUAUACAAGUCCCUGCUUUGUUCAGAACCCCUUUUCUUCUCUCCUUGUAUAUCAGAGAUACUUUUGCAAGGAGACAUAUAGCAAGCAAGAUGUAUAAUCCUCCGAGCGCGCAGGAUAUGUCCUACUACGAUCAUGUUCAGAAGCGCCAUGAGGAGAAAGGCUGCCUAUAUGCAUGAAUACUCCGCACAUGUGUUUGGAAAGCUUGUUAAGUUUCGAAGGAGAACCCCUGUAUGGCUUGAGGAUUCAGGACAGAUGAGUAAACAUGAACUGGGAAGACAUCCCUUAAAAAGAACCUGGGAUGGAAGGGAACAUGCAGUUCCGUUAACAAAAGCCCUUCAAAUAUUCUUUCUGAGGGAACAAAUUAGCUCAAUUCAUCAAAUUCUCUUUAUGUGAUUCUCAGAAGAAAUAAUCUCUUAACGUCUCUAAUUCGGUGCUAUGCUUCUCUUCGACCAUUACAUGCUAUACCUUUCCUCUUCAAAAUCUUUCUUUCGACUAGUUGAUUCAUCCUUCUUGUGAGCAUCUGAACAUUAUCAAGAUGUCAGAACAGAGAAGGGUCCAUCAGCUAUCAUUAUCGAGGUCCCUAUUGGGCUACAAAUCGAUGAUAGAGAGAUCCACCGCGCAAGGUCGCAUCAAAUGGAAAAUGGCAUUGUCUGGGCAAUUUGGUGGUUGCCGGUCAUUUUCAUGUGGCGUUGCCUACACCUAGAGGCAAUAUUGUUUUUCACGUUGUUCUAUUGAGACCAUUAACCUCUAAAAUCCAAGAUGAAAGCGGUUGUUGAAUAUUUCAGUAGAGAUAAAGCUGUAAAUCUCUACUCGGGUCAUGAGAUAAGUUAGUUGGUAAUUGAUUUCAUGUUAAUUUCAGUUAAUAAUAAUAAUAAUUUUUAAUCACUUUCACAAUGAGAGCUUCUUCUUGUGCAGCCUGUUCACUCUGUGCUGCUGCUUCUGCUGCUACGAGACCUGCGAGUGCUGCAUCGAGACCCUCUGCUGCUGCUGAUAGGCAAGCUCGACGACA